AUAAUCCCCAUAAUCUGGAUACUCCAGUCCCGGUUCCAGUUCCCUUAUCCAACCAUGUCCAUUGCCGAUAAACGCGCUUCCUUCGCGCGCCGCGCAGAAAGUCUGGUGGAGCGGGUGAGAGUUAUGAAUACCAUUUACGAGAAUAACAACAGUCCCCAGCGCCCUGCAGCGCCGAUAUAUAUAUAUAUCUGAUUAGACGUAAAUGGCAGUGGGUGGCAUGGUUCAGACAGCCAGUUCGCAGUUCUCGGGUGCUUCUGUUUGGCUUGGCCCGACUGUUUUAAUUAAUCUGAAACACUCGUACAUUAUACACAUCGUCUUAAUGAGUGUGUCCGAAUUGUGCUCGGAUCAAGGUCGCCAGAGUGUGCCCCCUAUCACAAGACUGAUUGCCUCUUAUGGGCCUGGGCAUGGGUCUUUCGUGGAUUUGUGCAUAAAAAUGGCAACGAUUUUGAUCUUUCCGUUUGCUCAUCACAAAUUUCGCACACGCAGGGCAUUAAAAAGUCAAUGUCCGGCAUGUUUUCCGUUGUCGAGCUAAAAAUAAAUGUCCCAUUGCAAAUAGCCUUCCGAAACGGCUUGGUCAUUGUGGCAGUGUUUAUGGGCAAGUGUAUAUGCAUCCGCAUCUGUGUGGGACUGCAAUACAAUGGAACUUUAGCAAAAUAACCUCAGGCAAGUUUUGCAGCGACUGGGAGAAGUGAGUUGAAAGUGAGGAAAGAGUUACAUGGGAGUAUGGAAAGAAAUUCAUUAGACAUCAUGCAACGCUGCAGCUUUAAUUAAGAGGUUUAACCAAGGCAGACACACUCAAAACAGAACAGGGGUUCAUUGGACAGACAAUCUCUGUGCGGAGAGCAGAGAACAAUUUCCGGUGUGCUUUAGCAAGAAGUUAAAAAGAAAUAUUGAAAGCGGGUUUACAGAACUGAACAGAUUACUUCAUGUGUUUAAUCAAAUAUGUAAAAAAUAUUGUUCACAAAUCCAGACCAAUUCUGUCUUUUGCCUAGAAAGAGUUGUCUCAAGGCAAAUUUAUAUUGACUCACUUUUAUUGCCAUGCUGUCUUUAUUGAAUACCAUUUUCUUAAUCUAAGUCUGUUGUUUUAUUUAAAUCAAAGUGCGUUACAAUUUCAUUUGUAUUUUAUUAUAUUCAUAUUUAAAACAUAAUA
This is a long non-coding RNA of Drosophila gunungcola (fruit fly), 1150 nucleotides long. RefSeq lists it as uncharacterized. The record is from RefSeq and is a predicted model, not a curated record. Lineage: Eukaryota; Metazoa; Arthropoda; Insecta; Diptera; Drosophilidae. The transcript is spliced from 3 exons.